GACGAACGCUGGCGGCGUGCUUAACACAUGCAAGUCGAACGGUAAGGCCCUUUCGGGGGUACACGAGUGGCGAACGGGUGAGUAACACGUGGGUGAUCUGCCCUGCACUUUGGGAUAAGCCUGGGAAACUGGGUCUAAUACCGGAUAGGACUACGCGAUGCAUGUCGUGUGGUGGAAAGCUUUUGCGGUGUGGGAUGGGCCCGCGGCCUAUCAGCUUGUUGGUGGGGUGAUGGCCUACCAAGGCGACGACGGGUAGCCGGCCUGAGAGGGUGUCCGGCCACACUGGGAUUGAGAUACGGCCCAGACUCCUACGGGAGGCAGCAGUGGGGAAUAUUGCACAAUGGGCGCAAGCCUGAUGCAGCGACGCCGCGUGGGGGAUGACGGCCUUCGGGUUGUAAACCCCUUUCAGCACAGACGAAGCGUAAGUGACGGUAUGUGCAGAAGAAGCACCGGCCAACUACGUG
This 464-nucleotide ribosomal RNA is filed under the name uncultured bacterium. RNAcentral's name for it is "partial 16S ribosomal RNA". It matches the Rfam family "Bacterial small subunit ribosomal RNA", at positions 28 to 507 of the family's 1533-position model. The record is from RNAcentral.